UUUUUCGAUCUUUGGGUUUCA
Molecule: non-coding RNA, 21 nt
Organism: Caenorhabditis elegans
Lineage: Eukaryota; Metazoa; Nematoda; Chromadorea; Rhabditida; Rhabditidae
Source: Ensembl